GAUGAACGCUAGCUACAGGCUUAACACAUGCAAGUCGCAGGGUAACAUGAGGAAAGCUUGCUUUCCUUGAUGACGACUGGCGCACGGGUGAGUAACGCGUAUCCAACCUUCCCAUAACUACGGGAUAACCCGUUGAAAGACGGCCUAAUACCGUAUGAUAUCGUUUGCUGACAUCAACUAGCGAUUAAAGGUUUAGCGGUUAUGGAUGGGGAUGCGUCUGAUUAGCUUGUUGGCGGGGUAACGGCCCACCAAGGCGACGAUCAGUAGGGGUUCUGAGAGGAAGGUCCCCCACAUUGGAACUGAGACACGGUCAAAACGCUUACGGGAGGAAGCAGUGAGGAAUAUUGGUCAAUGGGCGAGAGCCUGAACCAGACAAGUAGCGUGCAGGACGACGGCCCUAUGGGUUGUAAACUGCUUUUAUGUGGGGAUAAAGUGCGUGACGUGUCAUGCAUUGCAGGUACCACAUGAAUAAGGACAGGCUAAUUACGUG
RNAcentral lists this ribosomal RNA (490 nucleotides) under uncultured bacterium. RNAcentral describes it as "partial 16S ribosomal RNA". It matches the Rfam family "Bacterial small subunit ribosomal RNA", at positions 28 to 507 of the family's 1533-position model. The record is from RNAcentral.